GACGAACGCUGGCGGCGUGCCUAACACAUGCAAGUCGAGCGGAGUCAGUAAGAAGAAGUUUUCGGAUGGAAUCUUAUUGAUUUAGCGGCGGACGGGUGAGUAACGUGUGAGCGACCAACCUUGCACAGGGGGAUAACGGACCGAAAGGUUCACUAAUACCGCAUAAGACCACGGUGUUGCAUGACACAGAGGUCAAAGGAGCAAUCCGGUGCAAGACGGGCUCGCGUCCGAUUAGGUAGUUGGAGGGGUAACGGCCCACCAAGCCUAUGAUCGGUAGCCGACCUGAGAGGGUGAUCGGCCACAUUGGAACUGAGAUACGGUCCAAACUCCUACGGGAGGCAGCAGUAGGGAAUCUUCCGCAAUGGGCGAAAGCCUGACGGAGCAACGCCGCGUGAGUGAUGAAGGUCUUCGGAUCGUAAAACUCUGUUGUUAGGGAAGAACAAAUUUGUUAGUAACUGAACAAGUCUUGACGGUACCUAACCAGAAAGCCACGGCUAACUACGUGCCAGCCGCCGCAGUAA
RNAcentral lists this ribosomal RNA (521 nucleotides) under uncultured bacterium. Its description in RNAcentral is "partial 16S ribosomal RNA". It matches the Rfam family "Bacterial small subunit ribosomal RNA", at positions 28 to 523 of the family's 1533-position model. The record is from RNAcentral.